CUAUAGGUCCUUUUGCAGCAACAUGAGGAAAGAAUCCCAAAUGCACACGUGUGGAGAAGUCUAAAUGUGAUGAUAUUUUGUUAGUGCAACUAAAUUUCAUGUUGAUUUUGUGUCCUGGGAUUGGAUAAAGAGUAAAAUGGAGAGACACAUACUUCUUUUACAUUGAUAACACUCUGAAGACCUGGGGAAGGAAUGUGCGUGUGCACAGAACCCCUGACAUCUAUCUGGAAGAUCUCCCUCUCAGCCAUUCCAGAAGCUGAGGUGCAGGACGGAGCCCUCCCAGGAAUGUACAUUUUACUAUUCUUACUACAAUCUUAAAGAGUGGGUAAGUAGAUGUCACUAUUCCCACUUUACAGAUAAAGAAAUUGAAGCCCAGAGGAGCUGAGUAACUUAUCCAAGGCAUGAUGGGUGUUAAGCAACAAAGUUGGACCCGAACUAAGAACAAGUAGAAAGUGUUGACAGAGUAUAAAUAAAUCUGGAGGCUCCACUAAAAUGAAAUGACAAA
Molecule: long non-coding RNA, 505 nt
Organism: Myotis brandtii (Brandt's bat)
Lineage: Eukaryota; Metazoa; Chordata; Mammalia; Chiroptera; Vespertilionidae
Exons: 6
Source: RefSeq, a predicted model, not a curated record